GAGUGAUCACAGUUUUUGAGAAUCAUGAUGAGGCAUUAAAGAAGAGGAGGAGUGUCUCAAGGGAGGUGAGCUGGAGGUGAUGCAAGCCUCAGACUCAGGGCUGGGACCCUUGGGACUCAAAAGAGAGAAAAGGUGGAGAAAAGAGAAAGCUACUAUUUUCUUCAUUUUGCCCCUGCUAACAUCCAAUGCACUUAGGAGCCUCGAUGUCUGCUCUCCAAGAGAUGUCUGAUCUGAAAGCAUGUUGUGGUCCGCUACACACAAGAGCAAAAGAAGAGCAGGAAGGAGCUCAGUGCCAAGACCAUAGCCACAGGAAGAAAACCAGCUCUUAGGGCUGCAGCUCUAAAGACAGGCCAGGUCAUUACAGGAACGUCUGCUCCCUUAGCCUUGCCAGACAGAGGAGGGUUAAGAAAGGAACUGCUGACCCUGAUAUGCAAACUGCCACGAGUGCUUCCUGCCUUUCUAUCAGCAUCAGAUGGCUAGCGAUGGAUGGCUGUAAGAUUGAUGUAAUUAACAUUUUAUUUUCAGGGCCACAGUGCUGGUUGGGUGCACCAGACAAAUCAACCAACAGAUUAAAGAGUGAUGGAGAAAGCUGUGUUUUGGGCCUCAUUUGGGAACAGAAUGGAAGAGCUGAGGGUGGAAGGGACCUCAGCAAGUCUUCUGAUCCAUGUUUCAACCUUCAUUUCCCCGAUAACCUCAAGGAGAGAGUUGCUUUUCCUGUUCUUCAAAUGAGUUCCUUGAAUUCACACUCUAUUUCUUUGAAUUUGCACAGACUGUUGAGGAACAGGCGGCAGGGUCACUCUACCUCUGCUCAGACAAGCCUGGAAAAGAAAAAUUUUACAUAGAAGACUGAGCUGGAAGAGGCCUGGGAACUUGGGAAUUCCCACUUCCACACUGCCCACUCUAGUUCUCAAGAGGCGGCAGCUAUGCUGCAGUACAGACCACUGAAUUUAGAUUCAGGAAUCUGGGUUUAUAUCUCACUCCUCCUCUUACUUGCAAGUCACUUACCACACCAGGCCUCGGUUUCCUGGACAAUAAAAUGGGGAUAACGUUGCCCCAUGUGGUUGUU
This 1066-nucleotide long non-coding RNA is filed under the name Homo sapiens (human). RNAcentral describes it as "TRD antisense RNA 1". Lineage: Eukaryota; Metazoa; Chordata; Mammalia; Primates; Hominidae. The record is from RNAcentral.